GAUGAACGCUGGCGGCGUGCCUAAUACAUGCAGGUCGAGCGAACGGACGAGAAGCUUGCUUCUCUGAUGUUAGCGGCGGACGGGUGAGUAACACGUGGAUAACCUACCUAUAAGACUGGGAUAACUUCGGGAAACCGGAGCUAAUACCGGAUAAUAUUUUGAACCGCAUGGUUCAAAAGUGAAAGACGGUCUUGCUGUCACUUAUAGAUGGAUCCGCGCUGCAUUAGCUAGUUGGUAAGGUAACGGCUUACCAAGGCAACGAUGCAUAGCCGACCUGAGAGGGUGGUAGGCCCCACUAGAACUGAGACACGGUCCAGACUCCUACGGGAGGCAGCAGUAGGGAAUCUUACGCAGUGGGCGGGAGCCUGACGGAGCAGCGCCGAGUGAGUGAUGAAGGUCUUCGGCUCGUAAAACUCUGUUAUUAGGGAAGAACAUAUGUGUAAGUAACUGUGCACAUCUUGACGGUACCUAAUCAAAAAGCCACGGCUAACUACGUG
Molecule: ribosomal RNA, 497 nt
Filed under: uncultured bacterium
Lineage: Bacteria
Description: partial 16S ribosomal RNA
Rfam family: Bacterial small subunit ribosomal RNA
Source: RNAcentral